Long non-coding RNA from Humulus lupulus (European hop), 2432 nucleotides. RefSeq lists it as uncharacterized. The transcript has 5 exons. Lineage: Eukaryota; Viridiplantae; Streptophyta; Magnoliopsida; Rosales; Cannabaceae. The record is from RefSeq and is a predicted model, not a curated record.
AAUAGGAGCAUACUUACUAAAUAUAUUUUAACAGCAUAUAUAAUUUGAAUUCCAAUUAAAUUAGAUAUUUACUUAUGAAAUUUUCAGAUUUACCAGAGCUCUUUAAACUCUCUCAAACCCCUCGAUUACUCACAACCCCAAUCUUCAUCAUUUCUUGACCUCUGGCGAUCUAGACGGCUGGAGAGAAUCUUUGUCCUUCUGGAUAAACGAAACAAAAUAUUUUCGUGCCCGCAUGCGACACAACACUUAUAGGGGCUACAUCUCGAAUGUUUGACAAGUUACACAAUCUUCACCAGCAAGGGUUCUACUAUUUCGACCAUGAGAUAUUGGAGAUGGCUUGGGAUGCCAAACGACUACUCGAGGGGAGGAGGUAGGGGCCUCGGAGCAGAGCAGGGCCAUCGUGGAGAGGGAAGAACCAACAAGGGCAGAGAGACCACAACCGACUGGCGCCUCAAAUGAAGAGGUGAACAUGGGUCCCACAUAUGGGGCAAAAAAAUAUGUGGUGGAGGGUUUUGAAGCUAAGAAGCUCCCCAGCAAGCUGAAACAUUGGGGAGCCCUCAAUAGAGUACUCGCCUUCUACGGAGUUGAGGAUCGGGACAUCUUGACGUGAAUGUCCCGAGAGAACGAAAGGGUGCAUGAGAGCAUCCACGACCUCGGGGCUUGGAGUGUGUCUCACCUCUAGGCCAGAGCAUCCCUGCCCCCACCAAUAUUAUGUCGACUUCCUAAAGACCGUCGGCAUAGCUCUGUUCCAGCUACCCCUAAAUGGGUAUCAAGUGCUAGUCAGGCUAUACAUUAUGUAUAAGAGGCUGAAAUCUUGUACGUCUACAACUUUUGGGCCAUUAAGAAGGGGUAGCUCGAUCGGUACUAUACUUUGAUGAAGUAUACGUACCCGAGGAUGUCUUACAAGGCUCUAUGCAUGAACGAGAGCCACACGCGAGAUUACAAAGACCACUUCAUUUGGACAAGUGGCUUUCCCACACGGACCAACCCCACUCUGCUCCUGGACUUCGCCAGGGUUGGAAAAUAGCUUUAGAGGCGGUAAGAUUCGUGACGCUUAGAGGAUGUGUAUCGAUGGUGAAUGGAGUCAAGGGGCCGAGCGUUAUUCGAUUCGAGGAUGUAGUCUCAUUUUACUUUUUUUAUGGUUUUACAUGUAUUUUCCGCAUUUUCUAUGUAACUCUUUUCACUUUAAGUUAUUUUUGUUUUAAAGACAAUGGGUACCCAUAUCCUACUUAAUUUUAUGAAAGUAACCUUUGUUUCUACAAGUUUAUAAUAAAUUAUGGUAUUUUCGCAAAUGUAUGUUUUAGUAAGAAUUUGUAUGUAUAGUUCGAUAAUGGUCCAAGAGUCUAGAUUAGUGGGUCAUUACAGUUGUCCUCUGCAUGUAGUUUAACACUUACAAAAUUCCUUUUGCAGGUCCCUACAACCGUAACCCGUUCGUCGUGGCCUAUGAUGAACGACUUCAGCGGAUAAAGGAUCUUCCUCCGGGUGGACUAGCACCUGGGUUCGGUGGACCUCUCCCUUUUCAGAAACUCCAAGACUCCCUGGCGGAGGCCCAUCUCCACACGGAGUACAUGGCUGAGCAGACCCUCCUCCAGUUUACUCAAGGGAUGCGAGAGGAACACGUGGAAAUCGUGCUCGCUAUUCAGGGCGCUGCCGAGGCUCUGGAGGACCAGGAUCUUGAGGAGGAGCUCCAGGCGGGGAUAGAAUCCUCGUCUAUAGACCAAGAUCUCGAGACGUACUUGGACUGAGGAGGAGUUCCAAGACUACCAAGACUUUAUUGACGCUUUCCUCCACCACCCGAAGAGAAGGGUCGACCCCCAGGGGUUUGUGCCAUUGGACGAGGUUACGUCCAUGCACGCAAGGUGGUUCUGCCACUACGAGAUGAACACCACCCAAGAGAUGGGCAGACUAGUGCCACAUGGGCUUGUCUGAUUCUAUGUGGGCCAAACGCUAGAGGGUAUCAGGACCCUCUCAAAUCAAAAUUUCGACCACAUUAGCCAUGGUGCCUCCAUCCUCGAGAGUUCCUGCGACUUCGAUAGCUGUUCCGCUGUCGUCCCCCCGAGGUCAGUGAUGACUGGUGUAACGACCCAAAAUCACUAAUAAGGCUUAAGAGCCUUGAUUAGUGUGUCGGGAGGGCAUAAUUGGUUUAUGUGUGAAUUUAUUAAGUUUAAUGCGUGAUUAUAUGAUAAGCAUGCUAGUAUGUUUAUAUGAAUAUAAAUGUGACUAUAUGCUAUAAUUGUGAGAACCACAUUAUUAUGUGGGUAAAUCUGCAGCAUGCGACUUGAGGCGAUCCUAGGGAGCUAGUUAGCGGGAAAGUCACAACGAGGCUUAAUAUUUGACUUUGGGCAAGUCAAGGGGUAUUUUAGGUAUUGGAUGAUUAUUUAGGUUAUCGGGUUAUGGAAAUAAGUAAUUGGAGAUAUAUUUGAGGUUAGGAA